CAAUGACUACAACCUACCUUUUAACAGGUACAGUUCUGCACAAACAUGCCAGUCUCAUUGCUACCAGGCCUAUCUGUGUUGUUCCUGUCAUAAGUUUUAGUGUCAGGUUAUCUUCAUACAAUCAUCUACUUCCUCAUUUACUCAGUGGCCUCAUGAUUAUAUAUAGGGAUGGAAAAACACAGAUACAUUUCACAACAGAUAUUCAUUUAAAUAUGCACAUCACACAGUAUAAUCAACCACACACAUGCAGUUGCUGAAUCGCUUGAUGUGCUACGCAGAAGAGUGUAGAGGUAGAGGAAGGGGUGGACCUCACACCUUUGAGUGGGCAGAACACAAGACCAGAGCUAAUGUUGAACAGGAAGAGACUAAUUAUAAAUCGUGUACAAGUGCACACACUCUAUGCAGUGGAGAUCAGACGCCGGACAUUACAGACCUCUGGACUGAAAGCAAUCCAGAAUGGAGAUUCUUGCUCUUUCACUCUUACUCAUUCUCUCAGGUGGAGUUAAUACCUUUACUGUGACUGGACACAAAGGAGGUGCUGUCAUCUUUAAGUGUAAAUAUGAUGAGCUCUAUAAAAACCACAUAAAGUAUCUCUGCAAAGCAUCAGGGCCUUCGUGUUCCAGAGACAUAAAGGCAGACAAUUAUGCUAGCCCUGAGCCUGGACCCAAGUUCUCUCUCAAUGACAACCCAUCAGAGGGAAACGUCAUGGUGUUGAUCACUCAGUUGACUGAAGAGGACAGUGGAAACUACAAGUGUGGGGUGGAUAAUAUUCUUCCAGUGACAUCUACUGACCUACGGCUGGAGGUUAAGAAAGGUGAAGGGAAUCCUACCACAGUGGUUGGCCUUCAAGGGGGAAGUGCUGAGUUAAGCUGCACUUUCCCUGAAUCCUACAAAGACAGAACCAAGUUCCUCUGCCAGCAUCAGAGAGUGUUAACCUGCAUCAAACUCACCUCACCUGGAACACAGAGAAGAAAAAUACAAACGUUAUCCUCUGUUAAAAAAGAAGACAAAUUACCUUCUAAAA
Molecule: long non-coding RNA, 1024 nt
Organism: Clupea harengus (Atlantic herring)
Lineage: Eukaryota; Metazoa; Chordata; Actinopteri; Clupeiformes; Clupeidae
Source: Ensembl